Molecule: long non-coding RNA, 1146 nt
Organism: Oncorhynchus tshawytscha (Chinook salmon)
Lineage: Eukaryota; Metazoa; Chordata; Actinopteri; Salmoniformes; Salmonidae
Source: Ensembl
UACCAGAUGAUUAGGUUGUCGUCCCAGUCCGCCCCUGAUACCAGAUUAUUAGGUUGUUGUCCCUGUCCGCCCCUGAUACCAGAUGAUUAGUUUGUCGUCCCUGUCCGCCCCUGAUACCAGAAGAUUAGGUUGUGGUCUUUGUCUGCCCCUGAUACCAGAUGAUUAGGUUGUGUUCCCAGUCCGCCCCUGAUACCAGAUGAUUAGGUUGUGGUCCUGGUCCGCCCCUGAUACCAGAUGAUUAGGUUGCAGUCCCUGUCCGCCCCUGAUACCAGAUGAUUAGGUUGUGGUCCCGGUCCGCCCCUGAUACCAGAUUAUUAGAUUGUCGUCCCUGUCCGCCCCUGACACCAGAUGAUUAGUUUGUCGUCCCUGUCCGUCCCUGAUACCAGAAGAUUAGGUUGUGGUCUUUGUCUGCCCCUGAUACCAGAUGAUUAGGUUGUGUUCCCAGUCCGCCCCUGAUACCAGAUGAUUAGGUUGUGGUCCCGGUCCGCCCCUGAUACCAGAUGAUUAAAUUGUGGUCCCUGUCCGUCCCUGAUACCAGAUGAUUACGUUGUGUUCUCUUUCCGCCCCUGAUACCAGAUGAUUAGGUUGUGGUCCCUGUCCACCCCUGAAACUAGAGGAUUAGCUUGUGGUCCCUGUCCGCCCCUGAUACCAGAUGAUUAGUUUGUGGUCCCUGUCUGCCCCUGAUACCAGAUGAUUAGGCUGUGGUCCCUUUCCGCCCCUGAUACCAGAUGAUUAGGUUGUCGUCCCAGUCCGCCCCUGAUACCAGAUUAUUAGGUUGUUGUCCCUGUCCGCCCCUGAUACCAGAUGAUUAGUUUGUCGUCCCUGUCCGCCCCUGAUACCAGAAGAUUAGGUUGUGGUCUUUGUCUGCCCCUGAUACCAGAUGAUUAGGUUGUGUUCCCAGUCCGCCCCUGACACCAGAUGAUUAGGUUGUGGUCCCGGUCCGCCCCUGAUACCAGAUGAAUAGAUUGUGGUCCCUGUCCACCCCUGAUACCAGAUGAUUAGGUUGCCGUCCCUGUCCGCCCCUGAUACCAGAUGAUUAGGUUGUGGUCCCAUGUCCGCCCCUGAUACCAGAAGAUUAGGUUGUUGUCCCUGUCCGCCACUGAUACCAGAUGAUUAGGUUGGGUACCCAGUCCGCCCCUGAUACCA